Molecule: ribosomal RNA, 396 nt
Filed under: uncultured bacterium
Lineage: Bacteria
Description: partial 16S ribosomal RNA
Rfam family: Bacterial small subunit ribosomal RNA
Source: RNAcentral
AAUAUUGCACAAUGGGGGAAACCCUGAUGCAGCGACGCCGCGUGAGCGAAGAAGGCCUUCGGGUCGUAAAGCUCUGUCCUAAGGGAAGAAACGGACGGUACCUUAGGAGGAAGCCCCGGCUAACUACGUGCCAUCAGCCGCGGUAAUACGUAGGGGGCGAGCGUUAUCCGGAAUUAUUGGGCGUAAAGGGUGCGUAGGCGGCCUUUUAAGUCAGAUGUGAAAGGCUACGGCUUAACCGUAGUUAGCAUUUGAAACUAGAAGGCUUGAGUAUCGGAGAGGGUAGUGGAAUUCCAAGUGUAGCGGUGAAAUGCGUAGAUAUUUGGAGGAACACCAGUGGCGAAGGCGACUACCUGGACGAACACUGACGCUGAGGCACGAAAGCUAGGGGAGCGAACA